AGCAGCCGCGGUAAUUCCAGCUCCAAUAGCGUAUAUUAAAGUUGUUGCAGUUAAAAAGCUCGUAGUUGAAUUUCGAGAUCAGUACGCUGGUCGUGCCUUCGGUAUGCACUGGUGACACUGGUUUCUCCCUUCUGAAGAACCGUCAUGUCAUUAAGUUGGUGUGGCGGGGAAUCAGGAUUGUUACUUUGAAAAAAUUAGAGUGUUUAAAGCAGGCAUUUUGCUUGAAUACAUUAGCAUGGAAUAAUAAAAUAGGACGGCAUGAUUCUAUUUUGUUGGUUUCUAGGAUCACCGUAAUGAUUAAUAGGGAUAGUUGGGGGCAUUAGUAUUCAAUUGUCAGAGGUGAAAUUCUUGGAUUUAUUGAAGACUAACUACUGCGAAAGCAUUUGCCAAGGAUGUUUUCAUUAAUCAAGAACGAAAGUUAGGGGAUCGAAGACGAUCAGAUACCGUCGUAGUCUUAACCAUAAACUAUGCCGACUAGGGAUCGGAUGAUGUUAAUUUUUUAAUGAC
This 507-nucleotide ribosomal RNA is filed under the name uncultured Glomus. RNAcentral describes it as "SSU rRNA". It matches the Rfam family "Eukaryotic small subunit ribosomal RNA", at positions 569 to 1075 of the family's 1831-position model. Lineage: Eukaryota; Fungi; Glomeromycota; Glomeromycetes; Glomerales; Glomeraceae. The record is from RNAcentral.